AGAAGAAUAGCUCUCAACAAUGUCAUAUGAUUUAUCCGCUGCCCGGAUAUAUAAUUUGUAAUCCCUUUGGCUGGUUGACGGAGUGAAAGGCGGGAAGUUACCACGAAGGUGGUAGCUUAGAGAAAUUAGACAAAUAAAGGAUCUUUAUCCGGCUGAAGAGUCACCAGAAAAGGUGUUCUGCACCCCUAAAAAGUAGGAGAGAAAAGAGUUUUCGGAACGUGCCUGGGAGGAUUUU
Molecule: unclassified non-coding RNA, 235 nt
Filed under: Hevea brasiliensis (rubber tree)
Lineage: Eukaryota; Viridiplantae; Streptophyta; Magnoliopsida; Malpighiales; Euphorbiaceae
Source: RNAcentral